AACGAACGCUGGCGGCAUGCCUAACACAUGCAAGUCGAACGAGACCUUCGGGUCUAGUGGCGCACGGGUGCGUAACGCGUGGGAAUCUGCCCUUCGGUUCGGAAUAACUCAGGGAAACUUGAGCUAAUACCGGAUAAUGUCUUCGGACCAAAGAUUUAUCGCCGAAGGAUGAGCCCGCGUCGGAUUAGCUAGUUGGUGAGGUAAAAGCUCACCAAGGCGACGAUCCGUAGCUGGUCUGAGAGGAUGAUCAGCCACACUGGGACUGAGACACGGCCCAGACUCCUACGGGAGGCAGCAGUGGGGAAUAUUGGACAAUGGGCGAAAGCCUGAUCCAGCAAUGCCGCGUGAGUGAUGAAGGCCUUAGGGUUGUAAAGCUCUUUUACCCGGGAUGAUAAUGACAGUACCGGGAGAAUAAGCCCCGGCUAACUCCGUGCCAGCAGCCGCGGUAAUACGGAGGGGGCUAGCGUUGUUCGGAAUUACUGGGCGUAAAGCGCACGUA
This 499-nucleotide ribosomal RNA is filed under the name uncultured bacterium. Its description in RNAcentral is "bacterial SSU rRNA". It matches the Rfam family "Bacterial small subunit ribosomal RNA", at positions 28 to 573 of the family's 1533-position model. The record is from RNAcentral.